Non-coding RNA from Jackrogersella minutella, 69 nucleotides. The record is from the annotation of a GenBank genome assembly. NCBI's taxonomy places the organism in Eukaryota, Fungi, Ascomycota, Sordariomycetes, Xylariales, Hypoxylaceae.
GGUGGUUUAGCGCCUGGUCUGCCCUCUUUCUGUGAGGGAGUACCGUAGGUUCGAGUCCUACAACCACCA